Molecule: ribosomal RNA, 256 nt
Filed under: uncultured bacterium
Lineage: Bacteria
Description: partial 16S rRNA
Rfam family: Bacterial small subunit ribosomal RNA
Source: RNAcentral
AGCCGCCGCGGUAAUACAGAGGGUGCAAGCGUUGUUCGGAAUUAUUGGGCGUAAAGCGCGUGUAGGCGGCGACGCAUGUCGGGUGUGGAAGCCCUCGGCUUAACCGAGGAAGUGCGCCCGAAACUGCGUUGCUCGAGUGCUGGAGAGGGUAGCGGAAUUCCCGGUGUAGAGGUGAAAUUCGUAGAUAUCGGGAGGAACACCGGUGGCGAAGGCGGCUACCUGGACGGACACUGACGCUGAGACGCGAAAGCGUGGG